CAACGUGGGUAACCUGCCCAUCAGAAGGGGAUAACACUUGGAAACAGGUGCUAAUACCGUAUAACACUAUUUUCCGCAUGGAAGAAAGUUGAAAGGCGCUUUUGCGUCACUGAUGGAUGGACCCGCGGUGCAUUAGCUAGUUGGUGAGGUAACGGCUCACCAAGGCAACGAUGCAUAGCCGACCUGAGAGGGUGAUCGGCCACACUGGGACUGAGACACGGCCCAG
Molecule: ribosomal RNA, 226 nt
Filed under: uncultured bacterium
Lineage: Bacteria
Description: partial 16S ribosomal RNA
Rfam family: Bacterial small subunit ribosomal RNA
Source: RNAcentral